CAUAUUUUGGCUCUCUUUGAACACACCAUAUACUCUAUAAACACUACUAGAAACUUGAGUUUCAGCUACGGAUUUUGCUACGGAUUUGUUUUCUAGCAAAAUUUAGACUUAUAGCUAGGGAAUUACGACAGAUCUACCAUGUUUUUGAUAGUUAUUUUAUUUAUUUAACAUGUGGAAUAUUAGUGAGGAUUUACCGAGGGAUCAGCUACUGAUCUCGCAAGUAUUUAUCGAUGCACCACUAUCCCUCGCUAAUCAGUCGAAAAAUGAAGGGCCUUAGCUAGGGUUCAACGACGGAUAAAAAAAUUGCGCCAGCUGGUACGCGUUUAGCGAGAGAACGUCGACGGAAACUAUAUUUUGGGUACGUGCGUUUUGUUUUUCUAUCGCCAAUCUCUAGCUGAAAUUGGCACAACCCAAUUCCAUCUUCACGAAAUGCAUUGAAAAUUCUGGUACGCGUUUCCUUCCCUCCAGCUUUAUCACUCUGGACUCUGGACAUGAUUUUUGAACAGAUGACGACAUAGAAGUUCCUUUCAAUCUGUUAACCCAAUUCCAUCUCACAAUCUCUGUUUGAACAGAUGACGACACUACUCACCCGAUUCCGGCAACCUCCACAUUUUUAAAGCUGAAAGUAUUCUUCGUUAACUUUCCGAUUCAGGUAAAUCUCAUCCCUCUUAGGUUAGUUUUAGUUCAAUUGCACAAUAUACUUUGUUAGGGUUUAAUUUCUCAUUUUUUCUUUUUCAAUCGAUGUCCCUCUUAUCUCUCCGCAUUAUAUACAUGAAUCACCUUGAAAGUUAGAAUUAGAACUUGAUUUAGGGCUUGAUUCAUCAUAGUUUGUCAUCCAAUUUAUGAGAAUUUAAGGAUUCAGGAACACCAGUAGCCAAAACCUUUAGGUUUUCCCCAAUUCUCUUUCAUAUUUAGGAGGUGGUCUCUUUGAUAAGUCCUAUUCCCUUUUGAGGUCUUGAAUGUGGUCUCUCUGAUAAGUCCUAUUCCCUUAUGAGGUCUUGAAUCAUGAUGCUGACCUCUACUGCCAGUUGCUGCUUCACUUGGAGCCAUGUUAAGGCCAGUGGUACUUGUCAUAGGAGCAGCAUCAGCAUAUACAGAUUUUGAAGCCAACACUCUCAUCUUCAUGCAUCUAUCUCUCAUCAAACCAUGUUUCAUCUUAUGCCCUUGCAUCCACACAAUUUCACAGAUCCUCUCAAGGGCACAGAAUCAUAAUCUUCUUCUUCUACUUCAUAGAAAAUUACCAAAAUACCCCCCGAAAGACUUGUUAUAGGAUGCUCACAGGUUCAUCAUCUGAUUCUGAUGUUUGCAAACACUCUUCUGGAUUGGCAUAAAAGUAAUCUUCUUCUUUGGGUUUAUCUGAAAUAACCAAUCUUUUUGUGGGAUUUCCCAUUCUUUCUUGAUGAACUUGUUUUACGGAAAUGGAAAAUUCAUCCCAAUUUAAAAUUCCAUUUGUGUAUUUGUCUAUUAAAUCCACCAAAAGUCUCUUAUCCAAUAGAAUUGUCUUCUUGAAUCCCAAAAAUCUGAAAAACCAUUUUCACAUAAUUAAUUAGCUUCAUUUCAAUUCCAAGAUAGUGUUUUGUUUGCAACAAAGGAAUGGAAUAUGAUAUGUUAUAAAUAAAUUCACAAUUAUGAAUUAAUUUUAUUUGUAUAUAUAUUCUUUAAUAAUACCACUUCCACUUGUGUUUUUAAAAAAUUUCAAAACUUUAAUUUAUUAAUUUUUACUUUACAAAAGUAGGUAGAAGUAUUUUUUUAAUAUUAUAAUUCUAUUUCAAGAUUUCAUGGUAUGUGAUCUUACAUUUUUUUGUUAACAAUUUUAUUAAAUCAUAGAUUUUUUUUUGUUCUUAGCUACUUGAAAUACAUAUAAUGAAUUAGUUUAGCUACCUGAUAGAGCUUUUUUAUAAGUAUGUAGGGUAUUAAAUAAUCUCAAGGUUGACUAGCAUUUACCCUUUUCUCAAGGUUGAUCCCACUUUUUCUAGUAACAUUUGAGACUUUUAUAAGCAAAAUAAGAGCAUUUCGAAUCUCCAUGUAAAAUAAAUGACCAAUUUACCUUUCAGCGUACCUUUCAGCACAAAAGAACACAUUCAGAGAUAGAUUACAAUGAUUGGAUUAUAUCUAUAGGUGCACAUCAACCAAGCCCAAAAAAACCUUCUUAGGUCAGGUCAAAGUCCUAGUGUUCAAAAUGAAGGACUGAGGUAGAUUCCAGACCAAUUAUUAUCUGUCCAAUUCAAGAUAACAAUAACAUAAGUAGAUAUAUUAUGUGUUCAGCAAGCAGGUGCUUGAUGAGAGAGAAGAUACAGGAUUCAAAUAGUAACAUAACAUAAGUGAUAAAUGACCAAUUUGGGAUUCUAUAAAAGUUAGCUUAAAAUGUUUUGUUUCUUUUUUGGACUGAAUGUAUUGUUUGAAUACAAUAAAUGACCAAUUUACCCUCUGUCAAUAAGUGAUGUCUUUCGACUACCUUUUCAUAUGAGGUUUUACCAACCAACCUAUUAAUAUUGUGUUAAUAUACAGGGAAAGUGUUUGAGUUUGACAAUUUGUCAAAUAUCUUAAUUACCCUUUGAAAAUGAGAAGACAGGGGAGUGUUUGGGAUAUAUAGCCCUGUCCUAAAACCAAUGCAAAUGUCAAUUAGAAUGGUGAUGAGAUAGGCUAUACAAAUGUUUUAUCAUUCACAAUGAAUAAGCUUUGCUCAUAGUACCUAUUAUACUUUUAAUACUUUAAGUAUUAUACUUUUGACCAAAGUCUUUUGUGCAGAUUUCAAUUCAAAUUAUUAUAAAUAUAAAAUGUUAUAUGAUACCAUUGUCAUUCAUGUUGCAACAUUAAUGACACUGUUUAUAUUUCUAUUUUUAAUUCUUUUAAUAACAUAUAAAGAACUUUUUAAUUUUGGGGAAAAAAAGGUUUCUUGGCUGGAGAAUCACAAGUGAGUUUUAGGAACAGUAGGAUCCUCCACCUCAUAACUUGUCAUUUUUAAAGUGCAAAAAGUAUUGCAAACCCAAAGAUAUGCCCCUAAACUUAUCUCUUAGCCACGGGUUGACUUUCUGGAACAAAGUCAACAGGCUCGCUUUCUGUAUCAUUGACCUGUGACUGUGAUGCAGCAGUGACUCUGGCUUUCUUGUAUCUACUUGAACUUUUCAAAAGCUCAGCCAUUGAUAUGUUCUUCAACCCGCUCCUAUCAUAUUAUACAAGUUCAAAUGACCAUUUUACCCUUAAACAAGAAAUGGGAAAAUGUAUAUCACCAAACUUACUGUGAGUUCAUGUUGUUUCCACCACCUUCAUUUCUUUUCACUUCUAAUACAAAUUCAAAAUACAUGAUUAUAAAAAGAAAUAAAAAUCAAUGCUUUUUUAUGUGGCAUAAACUAAAAUUAGUGAAGAAAAUAAAUAAACCCAAUUACCAUAUCUUCUGGAGUCAAUGUUGGAAUCACUUUCCCCUGAUGAUGAUGGAUUUCUUGAUGGAGUUCGUGUGCUGGAAUCUGAGUUUCAGCAGAACUAUCAUCACUGUUAUCCCCAAAUAUUGUUCCAGGUGUACCCAAAUAUUGUUCCAGGUGCACAUUUUUCUUCAUGGUUUUAAUCUUUUUUGGACUUUUCAAAGACCUGCCAAAUGAUUCUGAUUCUGAGCUUGAGUCCGAUUCACUAAAUGAUUCUUAAUCUUUGUUGUCAUUUUUUGGGUUUUUACUUUAGUAACAUUAGGGGCAUUUUGGUCUUUUGCUACACCUCCAUCUGUAGAAGCUUCUGGAAUCUUCUUUGAGGACAAGGCUUUGUUGUUUUCAUCUUUUUGUUGAAUAAAAAUAAAAUAUACCUUUUUGCCCUUGCUUUAGCCUUCCUCUGUUUUUGCCUCAGUUUCUUCUUUUGUGAAGCAGGCAUUUUUGCCAGCUCAACAUUUUCUUCAGUUGAUGAUGUCGGAGGAAAAUCAUACAACUUGAUAUAACAUCUGUAUAACAUUAACUAAAAAAAAUUAGGUACAAGAAAUUAAAAUAUAUAAAAAGUUAUUUUUCUUGAAAAGAUUGUAUAGUAUUACAUUAGAUAACAAAAGAUAUGCAAAUGAAACUUUAGGUUCCUAUAGUUUUAAUAUUCCGGAAUUAUAUUUUUAGUCCCUGUAGCUUUAAAUUUCAGGAAUUACACUUUUGGUCACUAUGAAAGUGGGAAAUAAGCAAAAGAUACUUUUGGUUCCUAUAGUUUUAGUUUUCCAGAAUUAUAUUUUUGGUCCCUAAAGUUUUUAGUUUGCAGGAAUUACAUUUCUAGUCCUUGCAGUUUAUUUUUACAAAAUUACAUUUUUAGUCCCUAUAGUUUUUAAUUUGCGAAAGUUAAUUUUCUGGUCCCUGAAGUUUUAAAUUUCUGGAAUUACAAUUUUGGUCACUAUGAAAGAGGGAAAUAAGCAAGACACUUUUGGUCCCUAUAGUUCUAGUUUUCCAGAAUUAUCUUUUUGGUCCCUGAAGCUUUUAGUUUGCAGGAAUUACAAUUCUUGUCCCUGUAGUUUUAAUUUUCCAAAAUUACAUUUUUAGUCGCUAUGGUUUUUGGAAUAUGAUUGCAUAGUUAUAAUAAAAAAUAAGUAUUUCAUAUAGUAUAAUUGUAGUUUCCAAGGAUGCUUUUAGUAAUGUGGAUAUGAUUGCAUUAUCUAAUUUCUAAAUAGUAGUUAUAUAUUUGGUUGUAGCUAGUCAUUAUGUCAACACGUAGUGAUAGAGACUGGAUGUACAAAAGGUUAGAUCAUGGGCAUCUUAGCACAACAUAUCAUGCAUCCGUCAAAGGAUUUCUAGAUGUUUCUGUUGUUUCAUAUUUUUUUACUAUAAUAGGAGGCUUAUGAAAGUGCUAUGGUGGCUAAGUUUGGUGAUGAUACUAGUUGCCACCCCCUCUUGGAUAAUGAAACAUGGUGUGAUGUUUCCGGAGGAGUCAAGAAAGGAAGAAUAUAUGGAUUUGGAUCUGUGCGAGCUUUUUGGAAGGAACAUCUAGUACAAUAACAUCCCAAGAGGUACUUUAUAAAAAUAUAUGGAUUUGGAUCUGUGUUUGUGUGUGUGUGUGUGGACGUAGCCGAUCAAUGAGAGACUUUUUGUGAGGUCGACUAUUUGAAAUUAACCUUGUAAAUUGUUUUAUACCAUCGAAGAAUAUAGUUUUUUGAGUUAAAACAUAUCAAUCCCUUUUAUUUUACUAGAUGUUUUUUAAGUUUUGGGUUUUGCACAAAUAACCCUCUUUACUCAAUAAUGUUCUAUUUUACAACUAAUUAUAUUUAUCCUUCAAUUUUUUAUUAAUUUCUGACUAAUUAUUUUGUUUCAAUUUAAUCGCGAGUUUAUGAAUGAAUGAAAUUAGUUGAAGGAGCGGCCAAGGAUGAAAGCUUUGAUUGCGUAGUUUGAUGAAUUGUAGUAUAUUGAUUUUAUUUGAUGUUAUUGUUAAAUAUAUUUUUUCCUAAAUAAUAUGCGUGCUUAAAUAUAAUAUAACAAACAAGGUAGAAAAAGUUAUAAAAAGUUUAAUAAAAAUUGUUGUAGAAUCAAUGUUCUAAAAUGUCCGUCAUGGUUUCAUCAAGCCACGUUAUGGCUCAAGUGAUACUGACGUCAAACCAUAGGAAUGUCAUCUUAAGUCAUAUGUAUAUAUUAGCAGAGAAGGCAUUUAUGGGGGAUUGCGGUCUGAGUGAGCAAUCAACCGAUGGAAGAGAUGUUACCUUCUGUGACCUGAUGGGUGCUAUUUGUGUUUCCUGUGGGAAGUAGGAGAGGCAUGAGAUUCCAGUUUUGGGUUUAGGAGUAAACCAUGCGGGUUGACAUUGAUGACGAUUUUUCCACCAGAGUAUCAGGCAGCAUGUUUGCCACGGGGAAAUGAUCUACCAUGAGCAGGUAGUCAGGGGGGACUGAGAUGGUGAAGGACCACAUUACACCCUAAUUGAGUAUAGUAAGGCGUGUGGUAGCAGUAUCAGCGGGUGAUCCAGUCGAGUAUAUCAAAGCGGUGGCUCUUCUGUCUAUGAUGAGUAUUGAUUAUGGUAGUGGAGUCCCUAUUCUUGUGAUGACUCAUGUGUUGGAACGGGGGUUGAGAAGUCAAGGAUGGGGAGUAUGAUGAUUUAUUGUUUCAGUCUAAGAGUCACUGAUAGUACUGGACAGUUGAGAUGUUCGGUAUUGGGAUGGUAUGAGACUUCGAAUGGCUAGAGGCAGUCAUAAUGAGGAGUUCCUGAGGAUUUCUUCGGAGAUUUAGGGUAAUUGAGGGUUCUUGAUCUUCGCGUGGGGAGAUCAUUGGGCGUUGUGUGGCAACUUCCAAGCGUAGGUGCAAUGUUUCUGGUGUAACUCGUCUGUAGGGUAGAUUGUUGAUGCGUCAAUUGGUGAUGGUCUGAACCCUAAGUGGGGGAGAAUCGGGUAUUUUAUUGAGGGAACCAGAGAUUCGUGCAAGAGCGGUUAGGGGUUGGAUACAGAAAACCUGCAACUCGAAUUCAUGAGACCAGGGUCAUUGGUGAUCAAGGGAAGGUGUAGAGCGAGGUAAUGCAUGUGUAUAUGUCUGAGAAAGGGAUGGGUGUCUCCACGGCAGGUGGCCAAUGGUCAGGAAUCUGGUGGUGGUCAGGGUCGUUUCAAGUGGAAGGCUCGUAAUGGUGGUAUGAGCAGUUGAGAACUUCUGGGUCGAAUUAUGCAUUGUAUAUGCCCUUUUUGGGGAGGAUAGAAGAUUAUCGAAUAGCCAACUCCCGGGCCGGUAUGUGUAUUCUUGCUUGGAUUUUGAGCAGUAGAGGAAAGGGUUUCGGAGGAUCAUCAGUGUGUUCUGAAGCGUUAACACUUUCCUUGUAUUCCAAUUGAGUGUUGGAUACACGGAAGUUGCGCAUUAGGUAAAAUGAAGAAUUAAUUAUGGGGUUCAGAGGAAAUGUUUUGUUGUAUAUGUAUGGUGUUGGGAGUAGGAGAUCAGUGGUAGAGGCAGGACAUUGUGAUGUUCUGUAAUGGUGUUCCGUGGUACCCGUGUAUAAUGUCCCGAUUUCGGGGUUAUUUAGAAUCUUGAGUUUGAUACGACUAGUGGUGUAUCAUGUAUCUACAGUUCCAGUGGGAGCCCUUCGGGUAUUGACAUCAAGAGGGAUUAUUUAAGAAAGUGAAUCUCCGCAGAGGUAGGUACUUUGUUAUAGCGGUUGCCGCCAGAUUCUGUGAUGCAUAUUUGGGACAAGUGUGUGUAGCUAUCUAUGAUAGUCUACGGAGCAUGAGUUAGUGGACGUAGUGUGGCGUUGUGAUGAGAAUGAGAGUAUAGGUUGAAGCUACGGGGAGCCGUAGUAUUCACUAGUCAGAGGGUGUUAUGAUGCUACGAGGAGCCGUAGUACUCACAAGUCAGAGAGAGAGAGAGUCGUGAUACUACGGGGAUCCGUAGUAUUCACUAGUCAGAGGGUGUUGUGAUGCUACGGGGAGCCGUAGUACUCACAAGUCAGAGAGAGAGAGAGUCGUGAUACUACGGGGAUCCGUAGUAUUCACUAGUCAGAGGGUGUUGUGAUGCUACGGGGAGCCGUAGUACUCACAAGUCAGAGAGAGGGAGUCGUGGUAUUACGGGGAGCCGUAGUACUCACUAGUCAGAGGCUGUUGUGAUAUUGCGGGGAGCCAUAGUACUCACUAGACGACAAAAGAGUGUUCUCCGAUCAGUGUAUGAUGCAGAAGAGUUUUAGGCUUGAUGUAGCACCUGGUUCCCGGUAUGUAUUUCUUGUAAUUUAAAAUUCUAAUUCUUGCAUUUUUGCCUUGGACUCAGCGAGUUGAAGGACCGACUCGCCGAGUAGGAGCGGGAUGAGACGCGGGGUCUGAGCCUUGGACUCGGCGAGUCGGUUUCCUGACUCGGCGAGUAGGCCCUGUUUGGGCAAAAACUCUAACCCGAGUAUUGUCACCUUAUUUAAGCACAUUAACUCGGCCCCUUGUCCUUAACACUUCCAGAGAGCUGUAGUGAGAGUCCCUAGUCCCCCAUAUUGUGCUUGUGAGUGAGUUCUUGCUUGGUGAAGGGACUUGAAGCUUAGAAGAAGAAAAGAAGAGAUUGAAGAGUGCAAAAGAGGGAGUAGAUCCGAAAUCUACAUUGGGAGAAGCUUCCAUUCAGGUAGUAAAGUUUCUACCUUGAUCUUUAGUUCAUUAGAUCCCAUUUUGUCCCAAUUUGGUGGUUUUCAAGCCCUAAAACACCAAACUCCAUGUGUUUGUGCUUAAUGAUCUGAAAGGACUUCAGAUCUAGACCUGAUGGACGUGUUAGAAGCAUAAAGUUGAUGUGGUUGAAGUGAUUGAGGACCCCAUUGUGUGCAUGACCUCUUAAAGAGCUUGGAAUUGCAUUUUUGAGCUUAUAGGGCCAUGCAUGCACGUAAAGUUUGCAACUUUACGUGUUAAGCAUGCCCUAGGAGCAUAGAUCUGUGGUCUUGAAGCGUUGCAUGUCUCAGAUUUGGCUUAUAUGGAAAAUGGGUCAAGGGACUCGGCAAGUCCCAUAGUGGAACUCGGCGAGUUCUAUGAAGAUGGCCUUAGACUUGGCGAGUUGGAAGAACAACUUGGCGAGUCCUAUGAAGAUUGCCUGGUACUCGACAAGUUGUUCUUCAAACUCGGCGAGUCGUAUGAACUGUUACAGAGUACGAGGGGUUUAAGUGAUGGAAGUCCAACCCCUUCGUGUUUGUAUGUAGAAUUAGCAAUCUAGCGUGUUACAAUAGUCCCAAAAACCCAAAUCCUCAUGAAGGAUGCUUGGAUGAGGAUCUGGAAGUGAGUGGGAGGUCUGCUCGCAUGGACUCAGCGAGUUGUUCUUGGACUUGGCGAGUCGGAUCGCGAGCCGGUACUAUCGUCCCGAGUAGUGAGUUAAGGGCGACUCAGUGAGUGGGAAAAAGGGACUUGUAGAGUGGGACCGGGUUAGUGGGAGAAGGACUCGGCGAGUCGGUGCCAUGACUCGGCGAGUCCAGUCAACUGGAAGUUGACCUUGGACCAAGGGAGGGUCAGUCAUCUGACCUAAGGGUGUGUAUGAGAGGCUAAUCUAUGUUUAUGAUUUAUAGCCGGAGGAUUUCCGAUUCAGCAGUCAGGCGCUUAGCAAACAGACUUCAUCAGCUACUUUCNAGUUCCCUCCCAGUAGCGGUGGGUCUACGGCCACAAUGUCGGCCCACCAGUAGGAGUUGUAUGUUAGAUGAUUGUCUUUGUGAUAUUCAUCUAGGGUUGCUACUACCUGUGAUAUGCUUAUGUGCUAGUAUGAUAUGAUGCUAUGUGCUAGUGCCAGUAGGGGAGAUAGCCCCCAAAAUACUGGUCGAUAGGGCCGAAGGGGCGGUCAUGCCCAGCCAUGCUAGAUGGAUUAUGUGAUAUGUGAUAUGUGGUAGUAGUAGGGGUGAAAUAGUCCCCAACAUCCAGUCGAGAAGGCCGAAGGGGAGACCAACACCCAGAUAUGCUAGUCAGUAUCCGGUCGAGAGGACCGAAGGGGAGGCCAGCACCCAGAUAUGCUAGCCAGUAUCCGAUCGAGAGGACCGAAGGGGUAGGCCGGGCACCCGGAUAUGCCUGACAAUAUAUGUAUGUUAUGUGGUUAUAUGGUAUGUGGUACAGUGGGGGAACUCACUAAGCUUCGUGCUUAUAGUUUUCAGUUGUUGUUUCAGGUACCUCUUCUGUUAAGGGGAAGGAGCUGGCGCGGUAGCGGCACAUCACACACACGCUCUUUUGUUUUCCGCACCAUGAGUCGUUCUGGGAUUUUGUACUCUGACAUUAUCAUGUUUUAUGUUUUGGUUUAUGGCCACGAGACAUGUUUUAUUAAAUGUUAUGAUCGUAUGAUAUUUUGUUACAAACGCUUCUACAAAUCACUUAAUUAAAAAUGAAAAUUUUGGCCCGUAUUUUUGGGAUGUUACACUUGAGUAGCCCUAGUAUUGAGUUUUUGGGGCCUGGUGGUUGAACCAGGGGCGAGACUGGGGUCUCCGUCUCUGUCGCGAAUCAUUAUAUUUUGUUUUGAGUUGUGAUUGUCGCAACAGGAGGGAAUUGGGAUGGUGGUCACGGGAGGAAGUUGGUGGAGGGACUCGGCGAGUUGGUGCUUAGACUCGCCGAGUAGGGUCGCGGAUUCUCAUCUGGGUUCAUGGCUGGACUCGGCGAGUCCACGCUGUUUAAUGAAACCCUAAUUCCCGGGGAUUAAGACCUAUUUAAAGGCCCUUAUGGCCUUCAAUUGUGGCUACCAGUUGAUAGAGAGGAACCCCAGAGUGUGUGAUCGAUUUGAGAGACAAAGGAAGCCAUUGUUGAUAUUUGUGUGAGUGUUUUUGCAUGAAGAAGGUGACCAAGGCAAGGGGGAGCUGAAGAGGGUGCGAUUUUGUGAAGUUCAGAGCCAGAGACAUCAUUCUUGAGGUAUUGAUUCAACCCUUCUUCAGUUUUGGUGAUUUUCUUUGGAGUUAGGGUUUUCUAAACCCUUUAGAGACUAGAUUUGGUGAGCAUUUGGUCCCUUCUUGUGUUAGGGAUUUGGAUCUGGAUACAAAGAGGUCCAGAGACCUUAACCCUUUGAGCCUUAUGUGUGUAUAUGGAAGAAAUGAGACUAGGAUGUCAUAUUAGAGGGCAUUUCUUCAAAUAGAGUUCUUGAGCCUUUGCAUGAGCACCAAGAUCGGAGCUUUACGUGAUUAUCAUGCUUGGGAAGGUCAGAUCUAUGAGUUAGAGGGACGGAUCUGACCUCAGGAGGUCUCUUGAGCUUGAGCAUGGCAUAGACUCGCCUAGUACCAAGAGCAGACUCGACGAGUAGGGUUAGGGUUUCCCCAUAGUUCACUCAGUGAGUUCUUGCCGAGUUGGGGGAAUGACUCGGUGAGUCAGAGGGAAUUAGAGGACUGGAGUUCAAGGCGGAACUCGCCGAGUUCAUAUUGGGACACGGCGAGUUGAGUUGGGGUGGCCCCGCGAUUCAUGUCAGGUGUAACCCGUUGAGCAGGGGAAAGACUCGAUGUGUCAUGCGAGACUAGAGGGUUAGUGGACACGCGUAGACUCGCCGAGUCACCCAAGUGCACUCGGUGAGUCGGGUCAAAGUCUGACCGUUGACUUUUGUUGACUAUUAGGGUUUGGUCAACAAUGGGGCCUUUGAGUCAAGAGAGGGGUAAAAUGGUCUUUUACCCUUCUGAAGGUGCCAAGGGAGGGUUGAGUCUAGCCUCGAGAGUUAUAUUUAUGAGAGUAUUUACUUUAUGUGAUUAGGCGGAGGCUAGAUCGUAUUUCCACCAAGUCAGAGAUUUACCGAGACAUCUGAGGUGAGUCUUCUCACUAUACUUUACCUAGAGUGGUAACAGAGUUAUUGUAUGUUAUCUAUGUGAUGUGUGACACUGCAUUAUUGCUAUGUGAUUUAUGUUGUGUGUAUAUCAGAGUUAGAGCCGGAAGGUCCACAGAGCUAGGACCAGAGGGUCCACAGAGUAGGGCCCAAGGGCCCAUAGAGUUAUAGCCUCGAGUGGCUAAUAUGUGUUAUAUGUGAUAUUCUUAGUGUUAUGUGCCAGUGUAUUUGUAUGCUAUUUAUGUGUUGAGAUUUAUUGUGAUAUGUGAUAUGCAUGAUUCAGAGUUAUCAGAGUUAGUACCUUUGGGUCCAUAGAGUUAGGGCCAGAGGGUCCACAGAGAGCUGGGACUGGAGGGUUCCACUGAGACAUACUGACCAGAGGGUCAACCGAGUUAUAGCCUUGAGUGGCUAAUAUGUGUUAGAGUGGUAUUUUGGGGAACUCACUAAGUUUCGUGCUUAUAGUGUUUUGUGUUAUAUGUUUCAGGUUUUCUCAGGAUCACGGGACGGCACCGGCUCGAUUAUACACACCAGAGGAAGCGUUUGUUUUGAGGAUCCUGGUUUAUUAAUUAAUUGAACGAAAGAGUCAUGUAUUGUAAUUUAAACAAAAAGAAGAUUUUUAUGAAAGGUGUUAAUAAGAUUAACGAUUUUAAAUGAAAAAAAUUGUUUUGAAAAUUUCGGCGUUACAUUAUUGCGAUGAUAUCUAUAGCGACGGAAAAAACUAUCUAUUGCGAUGGGGCUAUGGAGACGAGAGCUAUAGAGACGACAUGUCGUCCCAAACACCUAUUGGGACGACUUUUUU
This 11935-nucleotide long non-coding RNA is filed under the name Lactuca sativa (garden lettuce). RNAcentral describes it as "long non-coding RNA (LSAT_LNC001673)". The record is from RNAcentral. Lineage: Eukaryota; Viridiplantae; Streptophyta; Magnoliopsida; Asterales; Asteraceae.